This 624-nucleotide long non-coding RNA is filed under the name Homo sapiens (human). RNAcentral's name for it is "HSALNT0015841". Lineage: Eukaryota; Metazoa; Chordata; Mammalia; Primates; Hominidae. The record is from RNAcentral.
GAACUCUGGGGGGCUGUAUUUAUAGUUGCUAGGUUACUGCUGUGCCCGCUGGUGCUGAGUCUCAGUGAGCGUGGGCCUGCGGCCUCCGUGGGGACUGCAGGUCUGGGUCCUCUGUGUGCCCCGGGGCCAGGCCAAAACCAGGCUGGAACCCGCCGGCAGGGCCCCCGAGGCGCCUCUGCCUGCUCUCUCCGUUCUUGCCGGCGGCAGCGAUUCGGACUCCCGCUUUCGACAAAGUCUCAGCUCCGCAGCAGCACCCGGCGCGGACUCGCUGGGCGCGCGGACUGAGCUCCGGGUGGAACCAGGACCCUCGCGCCCUCGCCCUCGCCCUCGCCCUCGCCCUCGCCCGAGCUGGACCACCGCGAGCACCGCCGACGCCAGCCGCAGAGCCGCGGGUGCGCGGGGAAGAGGAAACGAAAGCGCGGGCUCCGGAGCUGAGGUGAGAAGUGAGCAGAAAGUGAAAAGAGAAUCCAUCGGAAACAGAUAAAAAAGGAAAAACAAAACCCACUCGAAAAGAAAGAAAACGUUACAACAAAAAGGAUAAAGUAACGCUAAAUGAAAUAAAAAGGAGACAUACUAAAAACGUUAAAGUUGUUAAACUAAGUGAUAGAAAAGGCGAAGAAACAA